RNAcentral lists this ribosomal RNA (459 nucleotides) under uncultured bacterium. RNAcentral's name for it is "partial 16S ribosomal RNA". It matches the Rfam family "Bacterial small subunit ribosomal RNA", at positions 338 to 795 of the family's 1533-position model. The record is from RNAcentral.
CCUACGGGAGGCAGCAGUGAGGACUAUUGGUCAAUGGGCGGGAGCCUGAACCAGCCAAGCCGCGUUAGGGAAGAAGGUACAGCGUAUCGUAAACCUCUUUUGUCAGGGAACAAAGGCGGGGACUAGUCCCCGGAUGCGGGUACCUGCAGAAAAAGCAUCGGCUAACUCCGUGCCAGCAGCCGCGGUAAUACGGAGGAUGCGAGCGUUAUCCGGAUUUAGUGGGUUUAAAGGGUGAGCAGGCGGCUGGUUAAGUCAGCGGUAAAAGCCCGGGGCUAAACCCCGGCGAGCCGUUGAAACUGGCUGGCGGGAGUUGGAGAGAGGGAAGCGGAAUGCGCGGUGUAGCGGUGAAAUGCUUAGAUAUCGCGAAGAACCCCGAUUGCGAAGGCAGCGUACCGGCUCCACACUGACGCUGAGGCACGAAAGCGUGGGUAUCGAACAGGAUUAGAUACCCUUGUAGUC